UACGAAGGGGGCUAGCGUUGCUCGGAAUCACUGGGCGUAAAGGGCGCGUAGGCGGCAAUUCAAGUCAGCUGUGAAAUCUCCGAGCUUAACUCGGAACGGUCAGCUGAUACUGUUUUGCUAGAGUACAGAAGGGGCAAUCGGAAUUCUUGGUGUAGCGGUGAAAUGCGUAGAUAUCAAGAGGAACACCUGAGGUGAAGACGGGUUGCUGGGCUGAUACUGACGCUGAGGCGCGAAAGCUAGGGUAGCAAACGGG
This 253-nucleotide ribosomal RNA is filed under the name uncultured bacterium. Its description in RNAcentral is "partial 16S ribosomal RNA". It matches the Rfam family "Bacterial small subunit ribosomal RNA", at positions 524 to 776 of the family's 1533-position model. The record is from RNAcentral.